AAGGUGGAUUUGUAAGUAAUUAUUUUUUAAUAGUAUUUAAUGAAUUGUGGAACUAUGUGUGUACAUAUUGCCCGUCGCUCUCUUUUGAGAUAAGUCGUAACAUAGUUGAUAUACUGGAAGGUACAUCUUUUUGU
RNAcentral lists this ribosomal RNA (134 nucleotides) under Eurymerodesmus oliphantus. Its description in RNAcentral is "partial small subunit ribosomal RNA". Lineage: Eukaryota; Metazoa; Arthropoda; Diplopoda; Polydesmida; Eurymerodesmidae. The record is from RNAcentral.